GGGGACGAACAAAUAAAAAAUAUUUUCGAAUAAAAACUCCAACCCCUGAGGGUUUUCCAAAGCUGCACCCCUGAGGGUCUUCCUGAUGGUUUGCCGGAAGUACGGGCCACCAGGCAUAGGAAUUCUUUCGAACCAUCUUAUGAAGAUGGUUGUCCAGGCAUCCCGAGGGUGUCAAACAUGUGCCUCGAUUACACAUGAAGACGAAUUCCAAAGCAGCAGGGAGGUUGUCCCUGGUUUUCACGCUCCAAACAAGACACAAAUAUAUAGAUUCGAAAAAAGAUAUACAAAAGGUUCUAAAUUUGUUGUUAAUAGCAUGCUUACAUGAUAGCGUGGUCGGAGGGAACGUACCAUUGCUA
RNAcentral lists this long non-coding RNA (356 nucleotides) under Daucus carota (carrot). RNAcentral describes it as "long non-coding RNA (DCAR_LNC007681)". The record is from RNAcentral. Lineage: Eukaryota; Viridiplantae; Streptophyta; Magnoliopsida; Apiales; Apiaceae.